AGUCAUUUAGGCUGUGGUUUAGAUGAUGAAAGGUGGCCUCUCCGAGGAAGCUACCGUUUGGGGAUGAGCCCGCGUACCAUUAGCUUGUUGGUGGGGUAACGGCCUACCAAGGCGACGAUGGUUAGCUGGUCUGAGAGGAUGAUCAGCCACACUGGAACUGACACACGGUCCAGACUCCUACGGGAGGCAGCAGUGAGGAAUUUUGCGCAAUGGGGGGAACCCUGACGCAGCAACGCCGCGUGAGUGAAGAAGGCCUUCGGGUCGUAAAGCUCUGUCGAGUGGGAAGAACCUUCGUAUGUUGAAUAUGCAUACGGACUGACGGUACCACAGAAGGAAGCACCGGCUAACUCCGUGCCAGCAGCCGCGGUAAUACGGAGGGUGCAAGCGUUAUUCGGAAUUAUUGG
Molecule: ribosomal RNA, 404 nt
Filed under: uncultured Desulfococcus sp.
Lineage: Bacteria; Pseudomonadati; Thermodesulfobacteriota; Desulfobacteria; Desulfobacterales; Desulfococcaceae
Description: bacterial SSU rRNA
Rfam family: Bacterial small subunit ribosomal RNA
Source: RNAcentral